Molecule: long non-coding RNA, 329 nt
Organism: Pungitius pungitius (ninespine stickleback)
Lineage: Eukaryota; Metazoa; Chordata; Actinopteri; Perciformes; Gasterosteidae
Exons: 2
Source: RefSeq, a predicted model, not a curated record
UCCUGAGCUGUCGGAAUUCAGCUUUUUUUUUGUAUGUUGUUUUUGUUUAUAGGGCUGCUGGCGGGUUUGGAGGGGCGUCAUGCGAAAUGUUGUCAUGGCAAUCCAGUUGAUUGGCAGUGACGCCUGAUUUGAAAGGAAGAAUAGGAGACAGGUGGAAGGAGGCGGACUGUACAUCUAAAGGAACAGAUUGGAACAAAGAGGAGCAGCUGAGAUGAGGAGUUGGAUCCAGGUGAAGAAGACUGCGGCGGCUGAAGCUGGCGGAGCCGCAGGGCGCCGCCGGCGCUGCGUACGUUGGCCCGUGACUGUGUUGGAUAAAAGCGUCGCAUUCA